AUACACCUCGCUUCGGAGCGUAAGGCGUCGCCCGCCGGACGAACCUU
RNAcentral lists this ribosomal RNA (47 nucleotides) under Macrophomina phaseolina. RNAcentral's name for it is "partial 28S ribosomal RNA". The record is from RNAcentral. Lineage: Eukaryota; Fungi; Ascomycota; Dothideomycetes; Botryosphaeriales; Botryosphaeriaceae.